UCACGUUUUGGCCAUGACCUCCUGUGAUGUCGACGCUUAAGGGAGCUUUAAUGGGGUAGGGGUGUUGAGAGAUUGCACACUCUGGCACGAAAUCAGUUUGUCGGUUAAUGAUGCAAGGUCUCUUCCUGAUGAGGUGCAGCAGAACAUUUGGUACUGAACAGUACUGUCUCUUUGGCAAUGCAUGUUGACCAUUAACUGCUAAAUGCAAGUCCCCACAACAACACACCAGACACGGGUGACAUAUUGGCAAAUUUCCUGCAUAGUUUCUUUCAAGGAAACUAUGGUCCUGCAGAAUUUCGCAGAAUUUAUGCGAUUUUAUUUAUGAUGGGGAAAAUCUCAGGAAAUGUGUGGAUUAGAGUG
This 360-nucleotide long non-coding RNA is filed under the name Gadus morhua (Atlantic cod). RNAcentral's name for it is "lncRNA (ENSGMOG00000029808.1)". The record is from RNAcentral. Lineage: Eukaryota; Metazoa; Chordata; Actinopteri; Gadiformes; Gadidae.